GAUGAACGCUGGCGGCGUGCUUAACACAUGCAAGUCGAACGGUGAAGGAGAGCUUGCUCUCUGGAUCAGUGGCGAACGGGUGAGUAACACGUGAGCAAUCUGCCCCUGACUCUGGGAUAAGCGCUGGAAACGGCGUCUAAUACCGGAUACGAGCUGCGAAGGCAUCUUCAGCAGCUGGAAAGAAUUUCGGUCAAGGAUGGACUCGCGGCCUAUCAGCUAGUUGGUGAGGUAAAGGCUCACCAAGGCGACGACGGGUAGCCGGCCUGAGAGGGUGACCGGCCACACUGGGACUGAGACACGGCCCAGACUCCUACGGGAGGCAGCAGUGGGGAAUAUUGCACAAUGGGCGCAAGCCUGAUGCAGCAACGCCGCGUGAGGGAUGACGGCCUUCGGGUUGUAAACCUCUUUUAGUAGGGAAGAAGCGAAAGUGACGGUACCUGCAGAAAAAGCACCGGCUAACUACGUGCCAGCCGCCGCAGUAA
This 482-nucleotide ribosomal RNA is filed under the name uncultured bacterium. RNAcentral's name for it is "partial 16S ribosomal RNA". It matches the Rfam family "Bacterial small subunit ribosomal RNA", at positions 28 to 523 of the family's 1533-position model. The record is from RNAcentral.